Molecule: ribosomal RNA, 842 nt
Filed under: Wolbachia endosymbiont of Coptotermes lacteus
Lineage: Bacteria; Pseudomonadati; Pseudomonadota; Alphaproteobacteria; Rickettsiales; Anaplasmataceae
Description: bacterial SSU rRNA
Rfam family: Bacterial small subunit ribosomal RNA
Source: RNAcentral
GUAUAACUUAGUGGCAGACGGGUGAGUAAUGUAUAGGAAUCUACCUAGUAGUACGGAAUAAUUGUUGGAAACGGCAACUAAUACCGUAUACGCCCUACGGGGGAAAGAUUUAUUGCUAUUAGAUGAGCCUAUAUUAGAUUAGCUAGUUGGUAAGGUAAUGGCUUACCAAGGCAAUGAUCUAUAGCUGAUCUGAGAGGAUGAUCAGCCACACUGGAACUGAGAUACGGUCCAGACUCCUACGGGAGGCAGCAGUGGGGAAUAUUGGACAAUGGGCGAAAGCCUGAUCCAGCCAUGCCGCAUGAGUGAAGAAGGCAUUUGGGUUGUAAAGCUCUUUCGGUGGGGAAGAUAAUGACGGUACUCACAGAAGAAGUCCUGGCUAACUCCGUGCCAGCAGCCGCGGUAAUACGGAGAGGGCUAGCGUUAUUCGGAAUUAUUGGGCGUAAAGAGCACGUAGGCUGGUUAGUAAGUUAAAAGUGAAAUCCCAAAGCUCAACUUUGGAAUUGCUUUUAAAACUGCUAACCUAGAGAUUGAAAGAGGAUAGAGGAAUUCCUAGUGUAGAGGUGAAAUUCGUAAAUAUUAGGAGGAACACCAGUGGCGAAGGCGUCUAUCUGGUUCAAAUCUGACGCUGAGGCGCGAAGGCGUGGGGAGCAAACAGGAUUAGAUACCCUGGUAGUCCACGCUGUAAACGAUGAAUGUUAAAUAUGGGAAGUUUACUUUCUGUAUUACAGCUAACGCGUUAAACAUUCCGCCUGGGGACUACGGUCGCAAGAUUAAAACUCAAAGGAAUUGACGGGGACCCGCACAAGCGGUGGAGCAUGUGGUUUAAUUCGAUGCAACGCGAA